UACGGGGGGAGCAAGCGUUGUUCGGAUUUACUGGGCGUAAAGGGCGCGUAGGCGGCCAGCACAAGUCAGUUGUGAAAUCUCCGAGCUUAACUCGGAAAGGUCAACUGAUACUGUGCGGCUAGAGUGCGGAAGGGGCAACUGGAAUUCUUGGUGUAGCGGUGAAAUGCGUAGAUAUCAAGAGGAACACCUGCGGCGAAGGCGGGUUGCUGGGCCGACACUGACGCUGAUGCGCGAAAGCGUGGGGAGCAAACGGG
This 254-nucleotide ribosomal RNA is filed under the name uncultured bacterium. Its description in RNAcentral is "partial 16S ribosomal RNA". It matches the Rfam family "Bacterial small subunit ribosomal RNA", at positions 524 to 776 of the family's 1533-position model. The record is from RNAcentral.